Molecule: long non-coding RNA, 498 nt
Filed under: Brassica napus (rape)
Lineage: Eukaryota; Viridiplantae; Streptophyta; Magnoliopsida; Brassicales; Brassicaceae
Description: long non-coding RNA (BNAP_LNC023253)
Source: RNAcentral
CUGCAGGAUUUGGUGAACUUCUUCAGAAAUAACUUCUUUAGUAUUUGCGUCAUACUCUAACAUCUCCUCGAAUCUCUGAAACUCCAUGGUCUUUUAUCUACUCCAAAAUUCUUGGCUAAGUUCCCAAAUAUUUUCCGUCUGAUCUUUGGCUUAUUCUCCAAACCAUAAUCGAUGAAUCAAAUUCACUCCACCACAUAUCUCGAUGCUAAAAUUAUUGUAUAUGAUUAACUCGACCUUAACCUUCUGGCGGAAACAUCUCACUGUACCAACUUCGUAAACUUAAUCUUCAAUCGGUCCCAUACCUUGUUUAGAAAAUUCUACUUCGUGAACUCUUGAAAUCUGUCCAACUCGAUCUCACCUCUCUGAAGUAAUUCUUAACUCUCAACCAACAACUCAUCGCAUUCAUCUUCAAAUAGCUUGCUGCCAAAUCCUUCUUGUCAUUCUCUGAACAGCGGCCACGUCAAUAUUAUGCUCUGGGUGUUGCAUCCCAAUUCUUCC